AUACUUACCUGGCAGGGGAGAUGCCAUGAUCACGAGAGUGGUUUUCCCAGGGUGAGUCUUAUCCAUUGCACUCUGGAUGUGCUGAAUCCUGCAAUUUUCCCAAAUGUGGGAAACUCGACUGUAUAAUUUGUGGUAGUGGGGGACUGCAUUCAUU
Prolemur simus (greater bamboo lemur) is the source of this 154-nucleotide small nuclear RNA. Its record names the gene U1. It matches the Rfam family "U1 spliceosomal RNA". From Rfam's summary of the family: U1 is a small nuclear RNA (snRNA) component of the spliceosome (involved in pre-mRNA splicing). Its 5' end forms complementary base pairs with the 5' splice junction, thus defining the 5' donor site of an intron. NCBI's taxonomy places the organism in Eukaryota, Metazoa, Chordata, Mammalia, Primates, Lemuridae. The record is from Ensembl.